RNAcentral lists this ribosomal RNA (860 nucleotides) under uncultured bacterium. Its description in RNAcentral is "bacterial SSU rRNA". It matches the Rfam family "Bacterial small subunit ribosomal RNA", at positions 8 to 844 of the family's 1533-position model. The record is from RNAcentral.
AGAGUUUGAUCCUGGCUCAGAUUGAACGCUGGCGGCAGGCUUAACACAUGCAAGUCGAGCGGAAACGGCAUAGGCAAUCCCUUCGGGGUGCGCUUAUGGACGUCGAGCGGCGGACGGGUGAGUAAUGCCUGGGAAUCUGCCUGGUAGUGGGGGAUAACUUGCCGAAAGGUAAGCUAAUACCGCGUACGCCCUACGGGGGAAAGCAGGGGAUCUUCGGACCUUGCGCUAUCAGAUGAGCCCAGGCCGGAUUAGCUAGUUGGUAGGGUAAAGGCCUACCAAGGCGACGAUCCGUAGCUGGUCUGAGAGGAUGAUCAGCCACACCGGGACUGAGACACGGCCCGGACUCCUACGGGAGGCAGCAGUGGGGAAUAUUGGACAAUGGGGGGAACCCUGAUCCAGCCAUGCCGCGUGUGUGAAGAAGGUCUUCGGAUUGUAAAGCACUUUAAGUUGGGAGGAAGAGCUCCGGGCUAAUACCCUGCGAGUUUUGACGUUACCAACAGAAUAAGCACCGGCUAACUUCGUGCCAGCAGCCGCGGUAAUACGAAGGGUGCGAGCGUUAAUCGGAAUUACUGGGCGUAAAGCGCGCGUAGGUGGUUUGUUAAGUUGGAAGUGAAAGCCCCGGGCUCAACCUGGGAAUUGCUUUCAAAACUGACGGGCUAGAGUACGGUAGAGGGUAGUGGAAUUUCCUGUGUAGCGGUGAAAUGCGUAGAUAUAGGAAGGAACAUCAGUGGCGAAGGCGACUGCCUGGACUGAUACUGACACUGAGGUGCGAAAGCGUGGGGAGCAAACAGGAUUAGAUACCCUGGUAGUCCACGCCGUAAACGAUGUCAACUAGUUGUUGGGGGUCUUGUACCUUUAGU